GAAAAAUGUUAACCUAUAAUUAAUAAUUAGAAUAAGUCAUAGUAGUAGAAUUUUCUGUAAUUCAGAGUUAAAUAAAAACAGCGAUAGAGUGACUGUCAGAAGACUAUUACAGGCAGGCACGGUGGCUCACAGCCAUAAUCCCAGUACUCUGGGAGGCCGAGGUGGGUGGAUCACUUGAGGUUAGGAGUUUGAGACCAGACUGGCCAACAUAGUGAAACCCCAUCUCUACUGAAAAUAUAAAAAAUUAGCCAUACAUGGUGGUGAGUGCCUGUAAUCCCAGCUACCUGGGAGGCUAAGGCAAGAGAAUCACUUGCAGUGGAGUGAUUGGAGUCAGGAGGUUACAGUGAGCUGAGAUUGCACUGCUAUACUCCAAACUGGACAACAGAGUGAGACCCCAUCUCAAAAAAAAAAAAAGAAAGAAAGAAAGACCUGUGAAUUCUAACAGAGGUAUACGUUUUAUUUUGUCUAAGUAUUUAGUCUCCAUUAAUUUUGAUAGGAGAAAAUAAAUAGCUAGAUUUAUUUAUGUAAAUGAAGAUUAAAUUUCUCCUUUAUUUUUUAGGCUACUCCCAUUUUGCAAAACAAAAUUAAAGGAAUGAAAAUAUGUUCCAUGUUAUUGCCAUCGAUAACUGUGAAUAGGGCAAUUCAACAACUGCAGCCUGACAGAAGCAAGGCAACUAACUCUUCAGAAACCAUGAGGAUGAAGAUCCAUGCUAUCCUACAAGGCAAACAACCAGGAGAAGCGAAAUGCCACCAGCAGGGUAGCUCUGGAACUUGUAGAGCUGAAGUGGAGAAAUCAGGCAAGUGUUGAACCUACAUGUUAAGACACUGUUCAGAUAUAUUUAUUAUCUGGAUGGAUCUUGCCUGAUUAAUGCAAUUGUGCACAGUACUGAGGAAAAGCUAACUAGGUAAGGCGAACAAUGGUGAUUUAAAUAAAUAAAUCCAUAUAAAUGUACUGACUUCCAAAAGUAUAUACUGUAUUACAAGUUGACUGUUUAAAAGCUGUAAUAACCUAUUGGCAUUUUUUUCUCUCUCAGCAGAUGGUGAGCUAUUUUAGAAAAGGACUGACAUGAAUUGAUUAUAGUGUGUUUGUGUGCAUCACCACUUAGAAUAGUACCCCAUGUGUAAUAGUACUCCAUAUAUGUUUGUUGAAGAAUUGAAAAAAAAAAUAAAACAUAUAUUGUAAUUCCUCAACUGCCAAGUAGCUUUAACAUUGAUAGAGUUUGAACCAAACAAGACAAAUUUUGAUGUUUAGGUAAAAUAAUAUAUAUUUUGGCUCUUAAUUUGCUUUGGUAGUACAUAAAUUGAUUGCCAUUUAAAUGGAAAAAUAAUAGUUUCAAAUAUCAGUCUCUAGAGAAACAGAUUUACAGAAUUCCAACCAGGUAGAACUCUAAAGAAAUGAGUUGAAAUACUUCCAUGGUAGAAAUAUAAUUAAAAACAAGUAUUAAUUUUUGUGUGUAUCACACAUUAGGGAACUCUAAGUAAUAAGUAUGCCAAAAAUAAAUAGGGUCUAACACCACUGACAUUGAAGUUAUAAAAAUCAACUUCAUAAAAAGAGAAAAAUGUAUUAAAUCUCUGACUAUAUAUACAAAUAAUUGUUAUAAAGUAUUAUAUAUUUAAUGUUAUACAAAUAUGGAAAAGAAAUGGAAAAUGUAUGUGUGAUAUUUAUAUCUUAUCAUAAAUAAAUCUCUCUUCAGUGCUUGAAUACUCACUCAUCUUGUAUAUUGUGUGAAUUACCUCAGCAUCUGCACGGCAAAAAUUACUGUGUUUUCAAAUCCAAACAGCUAACGAUUGAAAAAAGACUUUAAGAGCCACCAUUUGAACAUUCAAUAAUGUUUUGUUUGCCUUAACAGCUGAUUCAGAAUGCAACAGACUCUGUGGAGUUGAUUCAGGGUUAGAAAUGUAUAAUAGACAUAGUGAUUAGAG
RNAcentral lists this long non-coding RNA (1923 nucleotides) under Papio anubis (olive baboon). Its description in RNAcentral is "lncRNA (ENSPANG00000044481.1)". Lineage: Eukaryota; Metazoa; Chordata; Mammalia; Primates; Cercopithecidae. The record is from RNAcentral.